AGUUCUAUAGCUCAGUGGCCAGAGCACCGGGUAGAUAACCCGGAGGUCAUCGGUUCGAAUCCGGUUAGAACUA
This 73-nucleotide transfer RNA is filed under the name Caudoviricetes sp. Its description in RNAcentral is "tRNA-Ile". It matches the Rfam family "tRNA". From Rfam's summary of the family: Transfer RNA (tRNA) molecules are approximately 80 nucleotides in length. Their secondary structure includes four short double-helical elements and three loops (D, anti-codon, and T loops). Lineage: Duplodnaviria; Heunggongvirae; Uroviricota; Caudoviricetes. The record is from RNAcentral.